ACUGGGCGUAAAGCGCACGCAGGCGGUUUGUUAAGUCAGAUGUGAAAUCCCCGGGCUCAACCUGGGAACUGCAUCUGAUACUGGCAAGCUUGAGUCUCGUAGAGGGGGGUAGAAUUCCAGGUGUAGCGGUGAAAUGCGUAGAGAUCUGGAGGAAUACCGGUGGCGAAGGCGGCCCCCUGGACGAAGACUGACGCUCAGGUGCGAAAGCGUGGGGAGCAAACAGGAUUAGAUA
This 232-nucleotide ribosomal RNA is filed under the name Xanthomonas citri pv. citri. RNAcentral's name for it is "partial 16S ribosomal RNA". It matches the Rfam family "Bacterial small subunit ribosomal RNA", at positions 553 to 784 of the family's 1533-position model. The record is from RNAcentral. Lineage: Bacteria; Pseudomonadati; Pseudomonadota; Gammaproteobacteria; Lysobacterales; Lysobacteraceae.